UGAAGUACCUAGCUAUAUUCUCUAUAGGCAAAUCCGUAGAGAAUGGCGAAAUACGAUAGUACUCGGAGUCUUCGGACAAAGAGAUAGUGCGCCUAAGGGCUUCCAAGAAAAACCUCUAAACUUCAGGUAAUGAGUACCCGUACCGCAAACCGACACAGGUAGUCGAGGAGAGAAUCCUAAGGUGCUCGAGAGAUUCAUGGCUAAGGAAUUAGGCAAAAUAGACCCGUAACUUCGGGAGAAGGGUCGCCCCGAGUAAUCGGGGCCGCAGUGAAGAGGUCCAGGCGACUGUUUAUCAAAAACACAGGGCUCUGCAAAAUCGUAAGGUGAAGUAUAGGGCCUGACACCUGCCCGGUGCUGGAAGGUUAAGAGGAGAUGUUAUCUUCGGAGAAGCAUUGAAUUGAAGCCCCAGUAAACGGCGGCCGUAACGAUAACGGUCCUAAGGUAGCGAAAUUCCUUGUCGGGUAAGUUCCGACCUGCACGAAUGGUGUAACGAUCUGGACACUGUCUCAGCCAUGAGCUCGGUGAAAUUGUAGUAACGGUGAAGAUGCCGUUUACCCGCAGUGGGACGAAAAGACCCUGUGCACCUUUACUAUAGCUUAGUAUUGACCUUGGAUAAAUGAUGUGUAGGAUAGGUUGGAGACUGUGAAGUGGCGUCGCCAGGCGUUGUGGAGUCAUUGUUGAAAUACAACCCUUUGUUUAUCUGAGGCCUAACCCCGUAAUGCGGGGGACAUUGCUUGGUGGGUAGUUUGACUGGGGUGGUCGCCUCCAAAAGAGUAACGGAGGCUUCUAAAGGUUCCCUCAGUACGCUUGGUAACCGUGCGUAGAGUGCAAUGGCAUAAGGGAGCUUGACUGAGAGACAUACAGGUCGAUCAGGUACGAAAGUAGAGCAUAGUGAUCCGGUGGUUCCGCAUGGAAGGGCCAUCGCUCAAAGGAUAAAAGGUACGCCGGGGAUAACAGGCUGAUCUCCCCCAAGAGCUCAUAUCGACGGGGGGGUUUGGCACCUCGAUGUCGGCUCGUCACAUCCUGGGGCUGGAGAAGGUCCCAAGGGUUGGGCUGUUCGCCCAUUAAAGUGGCACGCGAGCUGGGUUCAGAACGUCGUGAGACAGUUCGGUCUCUAUCUACUGUGGGCGUUAGAAAUUUGAGUGGAUCUGAUUCUAGUACGAGAGGACCGAAUUGGACAAACCUCUAGUGUAUCUGUUGUCCCGCCAGGGGCACCGCAGAGUAGCUACGUUUGGAAGGGAUAAGCGCUGAAAGCAUAUAAGCGCGAAACCCACCACAAGAUGAGAUUUCUUUUAAGGGUCGUGGAAGAUGACCACGUUGAUAGGCUAUAGAUGUAAAGGCAGUAAUGUCAUAGUCGAGUAGUACUAAUAACCC
This 1374-nucleotide ribosomal RNA is filed under the name metagenome. Its description in RNAcentral is "bacterial LSU rRNA". It matches the Rfam family "Bacterial large subunit ribosomal RNA", at positions 1512 to 2910 of the family's 2925-position model. The record is from RNAcentral.